CGCGAUUCGCCCUUCGGGGUGCCCAGGCGCGAAAACUUUGUAAUAAGCGAAAGCUUGACGGGGCUAUCCCGAGUGCCAUCCGCUGAGGAAGGCUUUUACCCAGUCUAGAACGCUGGGGGAAUAAGGAGAGGGCAAGUCUGGUGUCAGCCGCCGCGGUAAUACCAGCUCUCCGAGUGGUGUGGAUGUUUAUUGGGCCUAAAGCAUCCGUAGCUGGCUAAGUUAGUCCCCUGUUAAAUCCACCGAAUUAAUCGUUGGAUUGCGGGGGAUACUGCUUGGCUAGGGGACGAGAGAGGCAGACGGUAUUUCCGGGGUAGGGGUGAAAUCCUAUAAUCCCGGGAAGACCACCAGUGGCGAAGGCUGUCUGCUAGAACGCGCCCGACGGUGAGGGAUGAAAGCUGGGGGAGCGAACCGGAUUAGAUACCCGGGUAGUCCCAGCUGUAAACGAUGCAGACUAGGUGUUUGAACGGCCACGUGCCGUUCUAGUGCCGCAGGGAAGCUGUUAAGUCUGCCGCCUGGGGAGUACGAUCGCAAGAUUGAAACUUAAAGGAAUUGGCGGGGGAGCAC
RNAcentral lists this ribosomal RNA (564 nucleotides) under uncultured archaeon. RNAcentral's name for it is "bacterial SSU rRNA". It matches the Rfam family "Archaeal small subunit ribosomal RNA", at positions 312 to 879 of the family's 1478-position model. The record is from RNAcentral.